This is a non-coding RNA of Hippocampus zosterae (dwarf seahorse), 73 nucleotides long. NCBI's taxonomy places the organism in Eukaryota, Metazoa, Chordata, Actinopteri, Syngnathiformes, Syngnathidae. The record is from the annotation of a RefSeq genome assembly.
GGCCUCAUAUCUCAGUGGUUAGAGCACUGGUUUAGUAAACCAGUGUUUGUGAGUUCAGUUCUCACUGAGGCCU